AUGGGGAAGGCUUUGGAUGGCUCUCGUGUUUCUUGCUGGGUGGGAUGAUGGCAGUGGCCGUGGGCACACUGUGGGCAUGGCAAAGCCUCCAGAAGAGAUUUGGGAGCAGAGGGAGGCACUGGGACAGUGGCCUUGGCACAAAGCAACCCUCAGCUUGUGGCAGUGGCAGAGCUGGGCUACAGUUCCCAUCUGGGCUGGGGUUCACAUUUGGGCUGGGGUUCACAUCUGGGCUGUUGUUUCAGGCCGUCACCAGCCUCUGCCCACUCACCACUCACCUGGCAGCAGCCAGGGCCAGGGUGUGGGGAGGCUGUGGGCAGCCUGAGUGCUGCAAAACUCCCUGGGAGCAGCGACACGACACAGCCGGCAUAGCAGAGCCAUCGCAGAGGACCAUUGCCAUCCUGCAGGCAGCCCUCUAAUCAGAUAUUUUGGGGUUUCCCACAUCCCUGCGGGUGUCUGGGCCAAGUAAUGGGGUGAAUGGCGAGGGAAACCCAGGUGCAGGGCCACGGGCAGUGCAUGGGGACCCCUGCGUGGUCACAGCCCCCGAUGCRGCACCGUGACCUGCUCCGCACGACCUUCCCGGGGAAGAUUAUGAAAGUGCAUUACGUGUGGAGGCAAAACGGAUGGAGGAGCGGGCAGGAGUGCUGGGUCAGCAAGUCGUGCAGGCUGGAUGCGAGCGGUGAGUGCUCAGAGCGAGGAGGAAAAGACCGCGCUGGAAACAGUAAAGGAGUCAAACCACGAGUGCGAGUUUGGAGCUUGCAUAUCGUCCGUGACAGGGAAGUCCUGCUCCUCGGCUGUUUUCUCCAUCAUUUUCUCCCUUUGAGCCUUCUACCUCUGUCUCCUCCGAAACGACAGGAGCCCACAGAGUUAAAAUGCAGCAGAGUUUCCCAGCCUUUCCCUGGGGAAAGCCCAGGAGCCAUGUCCCACAGGGGUGCUCCUGCUGGGCACUUCGCAGUGCCUGCCUGCAGCCGAGGUUAGCGCAGGAAUUGCGGGUGAGGAAUGGGAGCUGCCACGCAGGGAGCUGCUGGGGAAUAGCUGCCACGCUUUACAUUCACAGCCCAUCUAUUUUGCAAUAACUUCACCAUGAUGUUCCCACAUAGACAAGCCUAAGCUAGCAUAGAUAAUGAAAUGGGUUAAAGGAGACAGGCGGAGGGAGAGGAGAGGAGCCAGCAACUGGUAGUAAAUCAGGGAGAGAACAGGGUUACUUUAAAUUCAAGGUCUUGGUGGCAGGGCAAGUUUGGUUUGUGCCAGGAGGCAAUGGGGUUCAGAGGAUGGGACACUGUUGGGAACACAGCAGUGUCUCCUUUGUAGGGCCACCAACUUGUGUCCCCCAUAAUCCCCCACCCUGCUCCUCUCAUUCCCCUGUGCCUGCCCCGUGGGUGUCACUGGCAUUAAGCCCAGCCAAGGGCGUCCAUCCUGGGUGGUAAAGGGUGAUCACAGGAUGCUGAAGGAGCUGCCAGGGCAGGCAGUGGGCUCUGCUCCKCAAGGGGAAGGUCCUGCAGGCUCGCAUCAACUCAGGACCUGGGGAGACCCAGCCGCCGAGACUCCCCCACCUUUGGCACGGGCUUCGAGGCAGUCCAAACAAGCUAAUUAAAUCCUGCUCUGCUUAAUCAGAGCCAUUGAGCACCAGUCAGAAGAAAUUAAUCCCGUGUUUUAUUAGAUGCUGUUUGAAGUCGUGUUUGGCACCUCAUCCUCGGUUCUCAUCUCCUUCUGGGGAAGGAAGAAGGACAUCUGCGGGGAAGAGCGAGGGUGCAGCAGAUGGCAGCGGGGAUGAUUCAGGGGCUCGAGGAAGGAGCUGUGACUCCAGCGGCAUCCCUGGGGGGAAGGGGGGGUGAGACACCUCUCCCUGCAUCCCACAGCUUACCCCCCUCCCCACGGCUGAGAGUCUGCGAGCCAGGCAGGCAUCCCAAAAAUACAUGUUCCUCCGCAUUGCAUGCUAAUGGCUCUGCUCGAGAGGUCCCACCGCAAUUAAAGCGCGAGGAGCAUUAAUAUGCAACGUGGAGAGGCCACUCUUCCCACAGCUACUCCCUCCCAAACCUGUCCUUCCUGCUGCACAUCCCUGCCCACUGGGAGCUGCCCACGGGGAUCCCACAGCAGUCCCAGCAGAGCCUCUGGCAGCGUGCAGUGAAUUUGAGCCUUCCUUUGCUGUGCCCAGGGGAUGCUGCCUUUCCCCCAGCACCCAGCACCUUCUCCUGCCUUUGGGCUCAGCAGAGCAGGAUCUGUUGGGUACCUACUAGGUGGGUGCCAUGCAACACAGCCCUGGCAUGGGAGACACCCUGACAGCUGGGAGAAAUCCACAGGCAGGUGUUUAAAACAACCAGCCGGGUGCCGGUUUGGGGUUUUUAAUGAUUUCUGGUGCUUUAAUUGCUGCAACCCAAGGAAAACGCCUGAUGAAGAGAAAGUCUGGCCAAGUAAGGUAGCCCACAGGUCCUCCAAGCCUUGGGAGCGCUCGGUAGCCUUGGUACAUCCUCUUACAACUCAGCUAGGUGAAGCUGCUGGCUUUGGGUGUGGGGAUUAAUUUUUUUUUCCUAAAUUUCCUGUCAUAACUUGCAUUAAAACUUUGCAGAGCCAUUUAA
Malurus melanocephalus (red-backed fairy wren) is the source of this 2573-nucleotide long non-coding RNA. RefSeq lists it as uncharacterized. The record is from RefSeq and is a predicted model, not a curated record. Lineage: Eukaryota; Metazoa; Chordata; Aves; Passeriformes; Maluridae. The transcript is spliced from 2 exons.